This 289-nucleotide long non-coding RNA is filed under the name Brassica napus (rape). RNAcentral describes it as "long non-coding RNA (BNAP_LNC018953)". Lineage: Eukaryota; Viridiplantae; Streptophyta; Magnoliopsida; Brassicales; Brassicaceae. The record is from RNAcentral.
CUAACAGUUUUACUCGUUUUCAGGUGGGUAACAUGGGUUCUCUGCUUCGAUCCACCACCGGAGGUUAUAUUCUUCUUUGAUCCACCGCCAGAGCUUUUAUUUUUCUGAGAUCCACCGCCGGAGCUCUUCCUUUGCUGCAUGCAUGGUCGUCUUCUUCACUUCAUGAGCCGCUCACCGACAAAUGCGACUUCCGAGGGUAUGAUUUGCUUCCCUUCUUACUGACUGUACAUGCAUUUUCUAAAUAUUAUGUCGAUUGUAUUUAUGUUGUUUGAGCUCGUCGUUUGUUGUU